AUACGGAGGGUGCAAGCGUUAAUCGGAAUUACUGGGCGUAAAGCGCGCGUAGGCGGAUACUUAAGUCUCAUGUGAAAGCCCUGGGCUCAACCUGGGAACUGCAUGGGAUACUGGGUAUCUAGAAUACAGUAGAGGGUAGUGGAAUUUCAGGUGUAGCGGUGAAAUGCGUAGAGAUCUGAAGGAACAUCAGUGGCGAAGGCGACUACCUGGACUGAUAUCGACGCUGAGGUGCGAAAGCGUGGGGAGCAAACGGGAUUAGAAACCCUAGUAGUCC
RNAcentral lists this ribosomal RNA (274 nucleotides) under uncultured bacterium. Its description in RNAcentral is "partial 16S ribosomal RNA". It matches the Rfam family "Bacterial small subunit ribosomal RNA", at positions 523 to 796 of the family's 1533-position model. The record is from RNAcentral.